GAUGACACUGAUAGAGUUGAUUCUUCUCGCAGAAGCCAUGUUUUCUCCUUCUACACACUACAUUCAACUUGUCCUUGGCUCUUCUGAGAUAACUCAUCCCCGACAUCAUCUCUCCUCAAAGGGAUUUCCAGCUCACCCAAUAUGGGCAGUAGGCUGGUUUUUCUUUUCUUCUUUUUAUGUUUGAUGGCUCAGAUGGAGAUCUCAUUUUGUUACAAUGUCAAGCCCAUCAAGACUGGAGCUUCAGUUCCAGGGAUUAAACAUGAUGAAUAAUCCAUUGCUAGAAGUCAACCUGGAGUCAGAUGGCAAAGGGGAAUCAUGGCUUGUGGAUGCCCAGCUCAGCUUCAAAACAGAGCAUGGCAAGACAGAUUUCCGGCUGAGAGACUGUUGCCUAUUUUGCAGUUUCUUAUACAUUCUUCUGGAGUAUGUGAGUAUUUUCUUGUUUAUUUAAAGUUUAUUUUUGUUAGCUUUUAUUAGUUUGAGAGCCAGAAACAGAGAGAGAGAGAGAGAGAGAGAGAGAGAGAGAGAGAGGUGUGUUCCCAUCUGCUAGUUCACUCUCCAAAUGCUCACCAUGGCUCCAGGGCCAUGGUGGAACCCAGGAGCUGAGAACUCAAUCAAGGUCUCCUGCGUGGGUAGCAGUAACUCAGUCACAGUCAUUGCCACAGCCUCACAGGAUUUGCAUUAGCAGAAAGUACAAUCUGGAGAGGAAUGGAGAUUUGCUCCUUGCUUUUUUGUGUUAGUUUGGAAAUCUUUCUAUAUUUUUGACAUAUUUUAUGUACUCCAUUUAUAUAAUUUUUGACACAUUCAAUUGACUUCCUUUCUUUGUUGAGUUUAUUUACUAUAGGAAUAAUCAGCUCUGUAAUGCUGGCAUCCCAUAUGGGCGCCAGUUUGAGUCUCAGCUGUUCAUCUUCCAAUCCAGCUUCCUGCUAAUGUGCCUGGGAAAGUAGCGGAGGAUGGUCCAAGUCUUUGGGUCUCCAUGUAGGGGACCCAAAAAAAGCUCAUGACUCCUGGCUGAUGGCUUUGGAUCGGCUCAGCUCUUGCUGUUGUGGCCAUUUGGGGAGUGAACCAGCAGAUGGAAGACCUCUUUCUCUCUGUCUCUACCACUCACUGUAACUUUGUCUUUCAAAUAAAUAAAAUUAAUCUUUUAAAAGAAGUGAAAGU
RNAcentral lists this long non-coding RNA (1158 nucleotides) under Oryctolagus cuniculus (rabbit). RNAcentral describes it as "lncRNA (ENSOCUG00000039074.1)". Lineage: Eukaryota; Metazoa; Chordata; Mammalia; Lagomorpha; Leporidae. The record is from RNAcentral.